RNAcentral lists this long non-coding RNA (1780 nucleotides) under Daphnia magna. RNAcentral's name for it is "uncharacterized LOC116921120, transcript variant X2". Lineage: Eukaryota; Metazoa; Arthropoda; Branchiopoda; Diplostraca; Daphniidae. The record is from RNAcentral.
CUAGAGCCACUUCGUAGUCUGUGCUAGAGCGGUAGAGCCCCGUUGAAUCCACGCAUCGGACCGGUUAUUGGAAGAUCGUUUUGUGAAAAGGCAGAAGGCACGUUGUUCGUUUCCUAACUCACCCACCAUCUUUCCUCAGGACUAUUUUGACUAUCAGUAUUAGCAUUCGAUCAUCAGUUGGGAAGAACAGAAAAUGUUUAUUCAUUACAUGCCAGACAAUUUUUGUGGUUUGGACUGGGAACUGUAAAUGUUGGUAGCCGUUAAGCUUUUCUCUUUUCAUUUGGACUUCUGUACCGUGUCUGGAUGUGAAUAGUAGUGUGCAUCUUUGUAACACAUGAGCUAGAUCAGAUUCCAGGACAAGAAGUCAAAGUUUAUACAAAGUAAUUUGUGUGACUUUGUAAAGUUGCAUCUUGGGUCCACACUGUCUUGAGCAAAAAAUACUCUAUAGAGUAUCUGCUGAUUAUUAUCUUGACAUAGUUCAUUGGAAUCUAAUACAGUAUGAUGUUAGUGUCCUAACACUAAAAUUCAUGAAGAAACUGCAUGUUUUCUCUUGGAAGUAUUUUGAGAAUUUUACCAAAAUGCAUCUUCCGCUCAGUAAAUAGUAGAGUAAUGGACUGAACCCAGAAAAUUUUUGAAUUGUUGAACUUAAUACAAUAUUUCUGCCUCGAUCAAGAUCGUACAAGGAUGUAAAGUGAACGUGGAAGCCUUGCCUCUAGAAGAUGAAAUCCAGAACAGAACCAGAACUUUCUGAAUUCGUGACAAGGCCAUUAGGACCAGGGUUUGCAGAAAAGAACUACAUCCAAGAACAUCCUAUUAGUCAUGUUCAAAUGCGGGUCCAAAGGAUCUUACAUUAAUACAUCUAAAAUGAUAGCGUGCGCCAGCCAGCAAGCCUUAAAUGGCAAAAAAGUGCCUAACGGUUUUUUAAAUCGCUGUUUUCCCAAAUACGCCGACAGAAUUUUUUCCCCAUGCAAUGUGUGGACGUGAGGUUUUGGUGGAUACUGCCGUAAAGACGGUAGAAACCGGGUACAAGCUAUGACGACUUGUGAAGUACUAUUCGACUGUAAGGAAUUCCACCAGUAAGAUCAUUGAGUUUGCUAUGGAGGCGAUGGUUUGGACUCACCUACACGGAAGCCAAAGUUCUUCCUGUGGAUUUUCAAAGAGCACUUAGUCACAUCAAAGCCGCCUUCCUUUAUGCCGAUGAAGAUCUUUUAAUACAAUUAUGGAGACGAUUCUUUCAAAUUGCUUGGGGUCGAAUUCAAACAAAAUCUUGGAUAAUAAUAGUGGAUUUGGAAAGGAUACUUACAUUUUUGCCGUAUUGGAAAUGAACACAUCUGCCGAAGCUAAAAUGUUCUUUUAACAUGGAUAAUUGGGUGUUCAUGUCAAGUCAUGUUUAGUUUUCACAAGGAAAUCAGACUAGAAUCUUUCCAACUAUAAGACUAUAGAAGGAUUGCACAGAUUAUUUUUUGAAGUAAGUUCCAUAAGCAAAUAUUUUUCUGUUGAUUUGUGUGUUUUUUCUCUUUAGGUAAUUGACGUAAUAAAUCGAAAAUGAGGUUUCAGAAUGAGGCUGGAGUUUCUAUCAAUGCUGACGUUUGGAAACACGAUCGGAAAUACCCAUGGAAUGAAAAACAUUCUCUCGUGUCAUGGUAUUUGUCGUACAUAAAUUGAAGUGCAUAUCUGGGCUCUCUUCUUUUCUGUGGCCCCGUUUCCCCUUGACUCGUAAUAAGCCCGUAGGGGGUCAUGCCCCUACUGUACGGUAUAUAUAAAAACAACAUAUAUCGAG